RNAcentral lists this ribosomal RNA (492 nucleotides) under uncultured bacterium. Its description in RNAcentral is "partial 16S ribosomal RNA". It matches the Rfam family "Bacterial small subunit ribosomal RNA", at positions 29 to 507 of the family's 1533-position model. The record is from RNAcentral.
AGUGAACGCUGGCGGUAUGCCUAAUACAUGCAAGUCGAACGGCAGCACAGUAAGAGCUUGCCUUUACGGGUGGCGAGUGGCGGACGGGUGAGGAAUACAUCGGAAUCUACUUUUUCGUGGGGGAUAACGUAGGGAAACUUACGCUAAUACCUCAUACGACCUACGGGUGAAAGCAGGGGAUCUUCGGACCUUGCGCGAGUGAAUGAUCCGAUGGCGGAUUAGCUAGUUGGCGGGGUAAAGGCCCACCAAGGCGACGAUGCGUAGCUGAUCUGAGAGGAUGAGCAGACACACUGGAACUGAGACACGGUCCAGCCUCCUACGGGAGGACGCAGUGGGGAAUAUUGGACAAUGGGCGAAAGCCUGAUACAGCCAUGCCGCGUGGGUGAAGAAGGCCUUCGGGUUGUAAAGCUCUUUUGUUGGGAAAGAAAAGAAGCAGGUUAAUACCCCGCUGUUCUGACGGUACCCAAAGAAUAAGCACCGGCUAACUUCGUG